AAGGCGCUUGAGAGAACUCGGGUGAAGGAACUAGGCAAAAUGGUGCCGUAACUUCGGGAGAAGGCACGCUGAUAUGUAGGUGAAGCGACUUGCUCGUGGAGCUGAAAUCAGUCGAAGAUACCAGCUGGCUGCAACUGUUUAUUAAAAACACAGCACUGUGCAAACACGAAAGUGGACGUAUACGGUGUGACGCCUGCCCGGUGCCGGAAGGUUAAUUGAUGGGGUUAGCGGUAACGCGAAGCUCUUGAUCGAAGCCCCGGUAAACGGCGGCCGUAACUAUAACGGUCCUAAGGUAGCGAAAUUCCUUGUCGGGUAAGUUCCGACCUGCACGAAUGGCGUAAUGAUGGCCAGGCUGUCUCCACCCGAGACUCAGUGAAAUUGAACUCGCUGUGAAGAUGCAGUGUACCCGCGGCAAGACGGAAAGACCCCGUGAACCUUUACUAUAGCUUGACACUGAACAUUGAGCCUUGAUGUGUAGGAUAGGUGGGAGGCUUUGAAGUGUGGACGCCAGUCUGCAUGGAGCCGACCUUGAAAUACCACCCUUUAAUGUUUGAUGUUCUAACGUUGGCCCGUAAUCCGGGUUGCGGACAGUGUCUGGUGGGUAGUUUGACUGGGGCGGUCUCCUCCUAAAGAGUAACGGAGGAGCACGAAGGUUGGCUAAUCCUGGUCGGACAUCAGGAGGUUAGUGCAAUGGCAUAAGCCAGCUUGACUGCGAGCGUGACGGCGCGAGCAGGUGCGAAAGCAGGUCAUAGUGAUCCGGUGGUUCUGAAUGGAAGGGCCAUCGCUCAACGGAUAAAAGGUACUCCGGGGAUAACAGGCUGAUACCGCCCAAGAGUUCAUAUCGACGGCGGUGUUUGGCACCUCGAUGUCGGCUCAUCACAUCCUGGGGCUGAAGUAGGUCCCAAGGGUAUGGCUGUUCGCCAUUUAAAGUGGUACGCGAGCUGGGUUUAGAACGUCGUGAGACAGUUCGGUCCCUAUCUGCCGUGGGCGCUGGAGAACUGAGGGGGGCUGCUCCUAGUACGAGAGGACCGGAGUGGACGCAUCACUGGUGUUCGGGUUGUCAUGCCAAUGGCACUGCCCGGUAGCUAAAUGCGGAAGAGAUAAGUGCUGAAAGCAUCUAAGCACGAAACUUGCCCCGAGAUGAGUUCUCCCUGACUCCUUGAGGGUCCUGAAGGAACGUUGAAGACGACGACGUUGAUAGGCCGGGUGUGUAAGCGCAGCGAUGCGUUGAGCUAACCGGUACUAAUGAACCGUGAGGCUUAACCUU
Molecule: ribosomal RNA, 1267 nt
Filed under: Escherichia coli
Lineage: Bacteria; Pseudomonadati; Pseudomonadota; Gammaproteobacteria; Enterobacterales; Enterobacteriaceae
Description: bacterial LSU rRNA
Rfam family: Bacterial large subunit ribosomal RNA
Source: RNAcentral